Molecule: long non-coding RNA, 776 nt
Filed under: Pan troglodytes (chimpanzee)
Lineage: Eukaryota; Metazoa; Chordata; Mammalia; Primates; Hominidae
Description: long non-coding RNA NONPTRT003525
Source: RNAcentral
AAGGUCUUUAAGGGAGGAAGUGUAAUAGAUGCACGACAGGCAUAAACAAGAACAACAAAACAGGUGUUAUGUGUACAUCGGAGUUCCUGUUUUGCUCAUCCCUCACCACCCCACCCUCCACACACUAACAUCCCUUUCUUCCCCCCACCAGCUGUAAAAGAUCCUCUGCGAAAGACAUUGGCUCUUUUUUUUAAUCCCCCAAAUAAAUUUUGCCCCCUUUUAGGCCAUGUUCCAUUAUCUCUUAAAAUUGGAACCUAAUUCGAGAGGAAGUAAGAAGGGUCUGUUCUGUGGCUGAGCUAGGUGAACCCCGGGGUAGGGGAAAGAUGUUAACACCUUUGACGUCUUUGGAGUUGACAUGGAACAGCAGGUAGUUGUUAUGUAGAGCUAGUUCUCAAAGCUGCCCUGCCUGUUUUAGGAGGCGUUCCACAAACAGAUUGAGGAUCUUUUAGAAUUGAAUUUACUCUUCAGUAUUUUCUAAUGUUCAGCUUUCUAAAAGGCAUAUAUUUUUCAAAGAAGUGAGGAUGCAGUUUCUCACGUUGCAACCUAUUCUGAAGUGGUUUAAAUGGUAUCUCUUAGUAACUUGCACUCGUUAAAGAAACACGGAGCUGGGCCAUCGUCAGAACUAAGUCAGGGAAGGAGAUGGAUGAGAAGGCCAGAAUCAUUCCUAGUACAUUUGCUAACACUUUAUUGAGAAAUUGACCAUGAAUUAAUGGACUCAUCUUAAUUUCUUCUUAGUCCAUCUAUAGAUACACAUCUCAAGUGCAUCUAUUCCCACU